ACAGAAGUAGUGAAUAUCAACUUUUUAAUCUAGGAUAAAAAUUAUGAUACUUUUCAUGAAACUUCACAGUAAAAGUGUCACAGUGUUAGCCCCAAAAGGAGUUACUAUGGGAAAUUGGAUUGCCAAUAUUUACAGAAAUGCAACCUAUAAAUGAUUGAAUGUGUAGAUUGUAACCAUGUGAACGGGGCUUUCUUUGGACUGAAAUGUUAUAGUAAGAGCAGUGUCUUCUUAUCAUCUCCAAAGUAGGUAGUUAAAACGCAAAUUGUUGCCUUAUUUAUCGGAUUAUGUUUAGAAAUGUGACCGAUAUUAAAGAAACGCUGCAGAAUGAAAGAAACAAAAUCCAUUUAACAAUUAUUGUAAUUCAUAAACAAAAUGUUAGUUUGCAUUUGGACGUACACAUACACUGUCACUACCUAAAGCAAUUACUGCUUCACGCAAAGGUCAGGAUGGGCAGUCAUCUCUUCAAUUAUUGUCUUUGAUAUAUUCUGGUAAUACU
This 496-nucleotide long non-coding RNA is filed under the name Mytilus galloprovincialis (Mediterranean mussel). Lineage: Eukaryota; Metazoa; Mollusca; Bivalvia; Mytilida; Mytilidae. The record is from RNAcentral.